GAUGAACGCUAGCGGCAGGCCUAACACAUGCAAGUCGAGGGGUAGAAGGAGCUUGCUCCUUUGAGACCGGCGCACGGGUGCGUAACGCGUAUGCAAUCUACCUUGUACAGGGGAAUAGCCAGGGAAAUUUUGGUUUAUUUCCCACUGUAUAUUAACUUCCGCUUGUUGUUUUUAUUAAGUUUCCACCGGUAAAGAAGAGGAUUCCGGCCCAUUGGUAGGUUGUUAGGGUAAGGGCUUACCAAGACGUGAUUGGGAGGGGGUCCUGGGGGGGGAUUCCCCAAACCGGGACCGAGAACACGGACCAGAUGCCAAGGGAGGCAGCAGUGAGGAAUAUUGGUCAAUGGUCGCAAGACUGAACCAGCCAUGCCGCGUGCAGGAAGACGGUCCUAUGGAUUGUAAACUGCUUUUAUACAGGAAGAAACCCUCCCACGUGUGGGAGCUUGACGGUACUGUAGGAAUAAGGAUCGGCUAACUCCGUG
This 479-nucleotide ribosomal RNA is filed under the name uncultured bacterium. RNAcentral describes it as "partial 16S ribosomal RNA". It matches the Rfam family "Bacterial small subunit ribosomal RNA", at positions 28 to 507 of the family's 1533-position model. The record is from RNAcentral.